Molecule: ribosomal RNA, 492 nt
Filed under: uncultured bacterium
Lineage: Bacteria
Description: partial 16S ribosomal RNA
Rfam family: Bacterial small subunit ribosomal RNA
Source: RNAcentral
AGUGAACGCUGGCGGUAGGCCUAACACAUGCAAGUCGAACGGCAGCACAGUAAGAGCUUGCUCUUACGGGUGGCGAGUGGCGGACGGGUGAGGAAUACAUCGGAAUCUACUUUUUCGUGGGGGAUAACGUAGGGAAACUUACGCUAAUACCGCAUACGACCUACGGGUGAAAGCAGGGGAUCUUCGGACCUUGCGCGAUUGAAUGAGCCGAUGUCGGAUUAGCUAGUUGGCGGGGUAAAGACCCACCAAGGCGACGAUCCGUAGCUGGUCUGAGAGGAUGAUCAGCCACACUGGAACUGAGACACGGUCCAGACUCCUACGGGAGGCAGCAGUGGGGAAUAUUGGACAAUGGGCGCAAGCCUGAUCCAGCCAUACCGCGUGGGUGAAGAAGGCCUUCGGGUUGUAAAGCCCUUUUGUUGGGAAAGAAAUCCAGCCGGCUAAUACCUGGUUGGGAUGACGGUACCCAAAGAAUAAGCACCGGCUAACUUCGUG